CGGGUGAGUAACACGUGGAUAACCUACCUAUAAGACUGGGAUAACUUCGGGAAACCGGAGCUAAUACCGGAUAAUAUUUUGAACCGCAUGGUUCAAAAGUGAAAGACGGUCUUGCUGUCACUUAUAGAUGGAUCCGCGCUGCAUUGGCUAGUUGGUAAGGUAACGGCUUACCAAGGCAACGAUGCAUAGCCGACCUGAGAGGGUGAUCGGCCACACUGGAACUGAGACACGGUCAAG
This 237-nucleotide ribosomal RNA is filed under the name uncultured Staphylococcus sp. RNAcentral's name for it is "partial 16S ribosomal RNA". It matches the Rfam family "Bacterial small subunit ribosomal RNA", at positions 103 to 334 of the family's 1533-position model. Lineage: Bacteria; Bacillati; Bacillota; Bacilli; Caryophanales; Staphylococcaceae. The record is from RNAcentral.